Molecule: long non-coding RNA, 2645 nt
Organism: Labrus bergylta (ballan wrasse)
Lineage: Eukaryota; Metazoa; Chordata; Actinopteri; Labriformes; Labridae
Source: RefSeq, a predicted model, not a curated record
UCUAAUGCUCCCGGAAAGGGCUCCCACUUUACGGCACAACACGGCUCUGCGUGUCCUAUUACGCCGUCGGCAGACUCUCUUCUCUGCAGCCUGUAUGUGUUAUCCGCGUUCCCGAUCCACCCCGCCCAAACCAGGAACAAAGGAAAGCGGCACAAAAUACGCCACAAAACAAAACGCAACAAAAUGAUUAUCCAAACGAAAAACCGACAUGAAACUCACCAGACAUGAUGGCUGAGAUGAAGAGAGGCUCCCUGGAGAAAGACCUGUGGGACUCAACAAUGUCCUUUUCUGCCUCAGCAAUAUGGCCAAGAACGAAAUUUGUGCAAAAGUCUCCAAAAAUCUCAACACAAAUGUCUUACAGCAGAGUCAGAGCAUACAACAAUAUAGUAAUAUAGCUGGGGACAUAUUAGUUUGAGAUUUUCUGCCUCCAUGCCUACUAUUUAAAACCCCUAGAACUCAAUGAUUUGACAAUACUUUGAUUGCGCGUUACUUUCAAUUUGAAUAUUCAGAGGCAACCGAGUUGUAUCGAUUUUUGGAUGAAACUCACCACGCAUGGACAUCACAUAAGCCCCACUUUAAUACAAUAUAUUAUAAUUUUACACUUUGACCGAAAACAAAUCAUACUUUUAUUAAUUUUUUCCUCCUUUUCCAAUAUCAGAGCAUCACACCCCCUCAUUAGGCACUGCAGCCUUGGAUGCUCUUAGCGCAACUUUAAAACGAAAUUCAACUUUUAUCUGCGCCCACAUGAUUAUUGCGAGCAUUGAAAACACCGAUGUUGCAUCUAAACACAAAUAUAAACUUUAUUUUAGACAAAAACGCAUAAAAUUGGAGAAUAAGUGGGCGUGGCAAAGGGCAGCAGCCAUCUUUGGAAGCGCAGGCCUGCAAGGUGCUCUGAGCGCUCUCACCUGCUGAGGGAUGCGGGGAGACACUUAGUGGCUUUCUUUUCUUUCAAAUCUUUAUAUUUAACAGAGUUUAUUUUAUAUAUUUACAUUUUUUAAAUAAAGUUUAUUCCACAAUACUUAGGCUAUUUAUUCCUUAGGAAAAAUUCGGUGUGUUAAAAUCCUUUUUAAUUUAGCACCAAAUCACGUCCACCCGAUCCCCCAUAGUCUGUUAAACUUCGUUACAAUUUUUAAAACACAACUUAUAUUAGUUUUAAUUCAGAUAAUGCAAACUAUGAUUGUACUUCAGACAGCAGUAAUAUUAAAUAGCAGAUCAGCCUGUAAUAACAGCUGAAAUACUUUUUUUUUACUAAAAGAAAGAUGUUGGGCGAACAUGAUAUACAAAAGACUUUAUAAAAAUGAUAGAGGAAAUGUAAAACUGUCCUAUUUUAUGUCCUUUUAAGCCAGCUGCAAACAUCUGCAGAUCUGCAUUCUCCCAAACUGGACAAACAUUAUUUAAUGAAACCCGGUAUAAUAUUAUCAGCGUCAUUUCCAGACUAAUAUUAUGACAUUUUAGUGUUAUUAUCUUUCCAUUAUUAUAUAUUAUGAUCAUAAGAUGCAGUAGUUUGAAAAAAGUAAUUCAUCCGUUUAGAAAGAAAAUGAUAGAUGGACCACUUUUUUUUAAAAAGCGCACAUAAUGUUUGUGUCUUUCCCCUCAGCCUUUAAGAUCUUUCUUUAAACAUCUGAAACACUUUUAAUAAACUCCUCUCCUCAGUACAUGACCCACAUGAAAAACUUCUACAUCCCUCUUCCCUGCGCUCUGCAGUCUAACAUCUUCUCCCUUCUCUCCUUUGCCGCAUUACGUUGGCGCAGUGAGGCAGCAGCUUCAUCUAGUGGCCAAAUUGAAGAACUUCUUCCCAGCUGACAUGCCUGUACAACGUGAGUGUUACGGUGUUUGUUUUUGAUACGAACAACCUCAUAUGAAGGUCUUCAUGAUGACUAAGUAUAACUGAGAUUGUCGUUUUGCUGUUCCUGAACUAGACUGUAUAAUAUUGAUAAUACAUGAGAGGGGCUGGACAUUACCACCUCUUAGAAUAAUGCCCCCAAAUGUACCAUGAUCACCCUCUGAGAUCUCAAUAAUAAAAAAGUAGAAAUGAUGUCCUGUGUGUUUCAAAUGGGUGUAAAUUGUUUUAAAAAAUUAACAAAAUCAAUUGUCAUUGCUGUUUUAUUUUUUAAAAUCUUGAAUCCAUGUACAGCACUUGGAUUGAAAGCGCCUUAUGCAGAAAUUUAUUAUCAUUGUUUUUAUUAUUAAUACCUUUCAACAAAGAACAUAAACUUUCAUUUGAAAAUAGAGAGACUAAUAUCCUGUUUUCAGACUUUAAUUACAUUUCGAUGUUAAAUCUGCUUUUUGUAUCAAUGUGUGAGUGAGUGCUCUAACUAUAGACAUAUUCUUAUCUUAUCUUGUUGUCAGUUAUUUUAUUAAAAACACUCGAGGGACCUAAAGGAUGAAAUCCCUUUUGGGUGUAAAAGAAAAAAAAGAUUCAAGCCCAUAUGUUCUGUAUCUAUUUUUCCUGUGAGGAUUCAUAAGCAUUUUAAGAACCUGAUGUUAUUAAUCUUUGUAGAGUUAUUCUAAUGUAAUUUAUAAAUAUCUAAUGUUCUAUGUUGAGUGUGAAUGAUAAUUGAAUGUUGUCUUUUUGUGGUCUCAGCAUGGGUGAAGGGUCCAAGACAAAUUUCUCACUUCGACAAUAAAGUUCAUCUUGAUCUUGA